Molecule: ribosomal RNA, 253 nt
Filed under: uncultured bacterium
Lineage: Bacteria
Description: partial 16S ribosomal RNA
Rfam family: Bacterial small subunit ribosomal RNA
Source: RNAcentral
UACGAAGGGGGCUAGCGUUGCUCGGAAUCACUGGGCGUAAAGGGUGCGUAGGCGGGUCUUUAAGUCAGGGGUGAAAUCCUGGAGCUCAACUCCAGAACUGCCUUUGAUACUGAAGAUCUUGAGUUCGGGAGAGGUGAGUGGAACUGCGAGUGUAGAGGUGAAAUUCGUAGAUAUCUGGAGGAAUACCGGUGGCGAAGGCGGCAUCCUGGACCGACAUUGACGCUGAAAACCGAAAGCUAGGGGAGCAAACGGG